GAACGAGCUCUCCCAAAUUGAUUUUAUGCUUGCAUAAAUGAUUUUUGGAUUCGGAGCGAGUGGCGAACUGGUGAGUAACACGUGGGUAACCUGCCCCGAAGCGGGGGAUAACAUUUGGAAACAAGUGCUAAUACCGCAUAAUUAGUUGGAACCGCAUGGUUCCAACUUGAAAGAUGGCUCUGCUAUCACUUUGGGAUGGACCCGCGCCGUAUUAGUUAGUUGGUGAGAUAAAAGCCCACCAAGACGAUGAUACGUAGCCGACCUGAGAGGGUAAUCGGCCACAUUGGGACUGAGACACGGCCCAGACUCCUACGGGAGGCAGCAGUAGGGAAUCUUCCACAAUGGACGAAAGUCUGAUGGAGCAACGCCGCGUGAGUGAUGAAGGUUUUCGGAUCGUAAAACUCUGUUGUUAAAGAAGAACAAGUGUUAGAGUAACUGUUAACACUUUGACGGUAUUUAACCAGAAAGCCACGGCUAACUACGUGCCAGCAGCCGCGGUAAUACGUAGGUGGCAAGCGUUGUCCGGAUUUAUUGGGCGUAAAGCGAGCGCAGGCGGUUUUGUAAGUCUGCUGUGAAAGCCCUCAGCUCAACUGAGGAAGUGCAGUGGAAACUACAAAACUUGAGUACAGAAGAGGAAAGUGGAACUCCAUGUGUAGCGGUGAAAUGCGUAGAUAUAUGGAAGAACACCAGUGGCGAAGGCGGCUUUCUGGUCUGUUACUGACGCUGAGGCUCGAAAGCAUGGGUAGCGAACAGGAUUAGAUACCCUG
RNAcentral lists this ribosomal RNA (767 nucleotides) under Apilactobacillus kunkeei. RNAcentral's name for it is "bacterial SSU rRNA". It matches the Rfam family "Bacterial small subunit ribosomal RNA", at positions 46 to 789 of the family's 1533-position model. The record is from RNAcentral. Lineage: Bacteria; Bacillati; Bacillota; Bacilli; Lactobacillales; Lactobacillaceae.